This 751-nucleotide long non-coding RNA is filed under the name Anser cygnoides (Swan goose). RNAcentral describes it as "lncRNA (ENSACDG00005013033.1)". The record is from RNAcentral. Lineage: Eukaryota; Metazoa; Chordata; Aves; Anseriformes; Anatidae.
GGGCGAGCGGCGCGGCGCGGGGUGGGGUGGCGGAGCCCGAUAUAAGGGCGGCGGGCGGGGAGGGGGGGGCGGCGAGGCUGCGCGGCGCGGCGCUGCGUGGGCCGACAUGGCGGGCACCGGGAUGGCGGCAGGGACGGGGGCCUGCGCCCGCAGCGCCGUGCUGACAGGGCUGGGGGCCUCCUCACAGCGAGCUCCCCGCUGGGAGAGGACGCAUGGAGGGCCCCGGGGGCCCUCAGCCGUGUGUAAAAGGGGAAGGAGGCAGGCGGGCGGGCGGCCGCCGCCUGGAGUGCCUUGUGUGUGUGCGCUGUGCCUUGGUAACCUGCUGCUGCUGCUGGGUGUGGGCUCGGGCCCCGGCCGGGGUGGGUGGCUUCUGGCUUCCACGCACAGACUGCUCGUUUCCUGGCUCGUUGUUAACAACUCUUUCGUUCGGGGGAUACUUCAUCUAAUCCAAUGGCAAAAUCCAAGCAGUGAGGAUCUUCUCUGCGUAGUCUUCUAGCCUUGCAAAGCGCAUUAGGCAGAAGAUGGUUUGAAGCAGACAUGAAGAUAUAAUGGAACCUGAAGAAGUGAAUGCUCUAUUAAACAAAAAAUGAAGGCUGGAAAAUGUUUAUAUUUAUGCUUUUCAAGUAAAAGACAGUGAGAUCUUGCCUUUAAGUUCAUACCAGUUCAGAAACCAAGCCUGAGUGUGUAUAUAUGUACAUGUGUAAAUACAUACAAAAAUAAAGAAAUCUUGUAGUAGUAACUGUUAAGGAGU